UGCGUAGGUGGGUUGGUAAGUCAGUGGUGAAAUCUCCGGGCUUAACUCGGAAACUGCCAUUGAUACUAUCAAUCUUGAAUCAUCUGGAGGUAAGCGGAAUAUGUCAUGUAGCGGUGAAAUGCUUAGAUAUGACAUAGAACACCCAUUGCGAAGGCAGCUUACUACGGGUGUAUUGACACUGAGGCACGAAAGCGUGGGGAUCAAACAGGAUUAGAUACCCUGGUAGUCC
This 229-nucleotide ribosomal RNA is filed under the name uncultured bacterium. RNAcentral's name for it is "partial 16S ribosomal RNA". It matches the Rfam family "Bacterial small subunit ribosomal RNA", at positions 568 to 796 of the family's 1533-position model. The record is from RNAcentral.